Molecule: ribosomal RNA, 1475 nt
Filed under: metagenome
Description: bacterial LSU rRNA
Rfam family: Bacterial large subunit ribosomal RNA
Source: RNAcentral
CGCUCCAGGUUAGUCGGGAGCUAAGGUGAGGCCUAACGGCGUAGCCGAUGCACAGACGGUAGAGAUUCCGUCACCACCAAAAGAGUUAAACACAGGGACACAUUUGAAGUCUCGGAGCCGGGUGUUGGUUCCGGUAGUGAUCGAGGGAAAUUAGUACCGAAGUCCGGGAUGGAAGAUGGCGAGAAAAGCUGUGUGUAUUUCUGCGGUGCCCGUACCGCAAACCGACACAGGUAGGUAGGAAGAAGAUUCUAAGGCCAACGGGAGAAGGGUUGUUAAGGAACUCGGCAAAUUGACCCCGUAACUUCGGGAGAAGGGGUGCUCUAGAGAUAGAGCCGCAGAGAAUCGGCCCAAGCAACUGUUUACCAAAAACACAGGUUUGUGCUAAAUCGAAAGAUGACGUAUACGAGCUGACGCCUGCCCGGUGCUGGAAGGUUAAGAGGAGAUGUGCAAGCAUUGAAUCGAAGCCCCAGUGAACGGCGGCCGUAACGAUAACGGUCCUAAGGUAGCGAAAUUCCUUGUCAGGUAAGUUCUGACCCGCAUGAAAGGCGUAAUGAUUUGGGCACUGUCUCGACAGCCCGCCCGGCGAAAUUGUAGUACCGGUGAAGAUGCCGGUUACCCGCGACAAGACGGAAAGACCCCAUGGAGCUUUACUGUAGCCUAAUAUUGGGUUUCGAUGUUGCAUGCACAGGAUAGAUGGGACACUGGGAAGCAAGUGCUUUGGCAUUUGUGGAGUGGCCGUUGGGAUACGAUCCUUGCGAUAUUGGAAUUCUAACCUGCGCCUUUGAAUCAAGGCGGGGGACAUUGUUAGGUGGGCAGUUUGACUGGGGCGGUCGCCUCCUAAAGAGUAACGGAGGCGUUCAAAGGUCCGCUCAGCUUGAACGGAAAUCAAGCAAAAGAGUGCAAACGCAGAAGCGAGCCUAACUGCGAGACUGACGGGUCGAGCAGUAACGAAAGUUGGAGUUAGUGAUCCGGUGGUAUGUGAGUGGAAAUGCCAUCGCUCAACGGAUAAAAGUUACCCUGGGGAUAACAGGCUGAUCUCCCCCAAGAGUCCACAUCGACGGGGAGGUUUGGCACCUCGAUGUCGGCUCAUCGCAUCCUGGGGCUGUAUUCGGUCCCAAGGGUUUGGCUGUUCGCCAAUUAAAGCGGUACGCGAGCUGGGUUCAGAACGUCGUGAGACAGUUCGGUCCCUAUCUGUCGUGGGCGCAGGAUAUUUGAUGGGAGCUGUUCCUAGUACGAGAGGACCGGAGCGGACGUACCUCUGGCGCACCAGUUGUUCUGCCAAGGGCAUAGCUGGGCAACUAUGUACGGAUCGGAUAAACGCUGAAAGCAUCUAAGCGUGAAGCCGACCCAAAGAUAAGAUAUCCCAUUGUUUCAAACAAGUAAGACCCCUUGAAGACUACAAGGUUGAUAGGCAUGAUGUGUAAGUGGAGUGAUCCAUUCAGCAAGCAUGUACUAAUAGGUCGAGGGCUUGACCU